CCUACGGGAGGCAGCAGUGGGGAAUAUUGCGCAAUGGGCGAAAGCCUGACGCAGCGACGCCGCGUGAGGGAUGAAGGUCUUCGGAUCGUAAACCUCUGUCAGCAGGGAAGAACGGUCAAUGUGCUAAUCAGCAGUGAAUUGACGGUACCUGCAAAGGAAGCACCGGCUAACUCCGUGCCAGCAGCCGCGGUAAUACGGAGGGUGCGAGCUUUAAUCGGAAUUACUGGGCGUAAAGCGCUGUUAGGCGGUAUGUAAAUUCAAGGGUGAAAUCCCCGCGCUCAACGUGGGAACUGCCUUUGAAACUGGCAAACUGGGGUGUGUGAGAGGAGAGUGGAAUUCCAGGUGUAGGAGUGAAAUCCGUAGAUAUCUGGAGGAACAUCAGUGGCGAAGGCGACUAUCUGGCACAUAACUGACGCUGAGGAGCGAAAGCGUGGGUAGCAAACAGGAUUAGAUACCCGGGUAGUC
This 465-nucleotide ribosomal RNA is filed under the name uncultured bacterium. RNAcentral's name for it is "partial 16S ribosomal RNA". It matches the Rfam family "Bacterial small subunit ribosomal RNA", at positions 338 to 795 of the family's 1533-position model. The record is from RNAcentral.